RNAcentral lists this long non-coding RNA (250 nucleotides) under Arachis ipaensis. RNAcentral describes it as "long non-coding RNA (AIPA_LNC000468)". Lineage: Eukaryota; Viridiplantae; Streptophyta; Magnoliopsida; Fabales; Fabaceae. The record is from RNAcentral.
CUAAGCAAGAGCUGAGAGGGGUGCAUUAUGUUUCAGGGAUAAUAUGUUGCUAAUUAUAUUUGUUUUGAUGACAACAAUUUAUAUAGUUUGAAGUUAAUUUUCAUGUAUUCCUUACAGGGACUUGUAUAUGAGUGUGAGGGUAAGAUAGUUGGGUGAUGCAACAAAGUUAAAUGAUAGGAAUUUAGUUAAAGUGGAAGUUUAUGAUUUAUGACCAUUAUAAUCAAAUUCUUUGUGCUCAUGUACUAUGACA